This 274-nucleotide ribosomal RNA is filed under the name uncultured bacterium. RNAcentral describes it as "partial 16S ribosomal RNA". It matches the Rfam family "Bacterial small subunit ribosomal RNA", at positions 523 to 796 of the family's 1533-position model. The record is from RNAcentral.
AUACGGAGGGUGCAAGCGUUAUCCGGAAUCAUGGGGUUUAAAGGGUCCGUAGGCGGGCUAAUAAGUCAGGGGUGAAAUCCCACAGCUUAACUGUGGAACUGCCCUUGAUACUGUUGGUCUUGAGUUACAGUGAAGUGGUUAGAAUGUGUAGUGUAGCGGUGAAAUGCAUAGAGAUUACACAGAAUACCGAUUGCGAAGGCAGAUCACUAACUGUAUACUGACGCUAAUGGACGAAAGCGUGGGGAGCGAACAGGAUUAGAAACCCCAGUAGUCC